This 226-nucleotide long non-coding RNA is filed under the name Elaeis guineensis (African oil palm). RNAcentral's name for it is "long non-coding RNA (EGUI_LNC059808)". The record is from RNAcentral. Lineage: Eukaryota; Viridiplantae; Streptophyta; Magnoliopsida; Arecales; Arecaceae.
GUGACUCAAUAGUGGAGUCCUUCCCUUGCGUCUGGUCGUUCUUGUCCAUCGUUCGAUUCUAGCCUAGCGGUUCUGUAGGUUCUUUAUCAAUUAUUUUUUUAAAUAAUUUUUAAUAAUUAAUUUUGCAUCACAUACCUUUUCAGUAGGUUUUGGCUUCCACUGAAAGAUCUGGUUAGGUCCAACCAUUAACAUGAUCAUGCUCAGUGCAUCUAACUAAUGAAUGAUU